UACGUAGGGUGCAAGCGUUAAUCGGAAUUACUGGGCGUAAAGCGUGCGCAGGCGGUUAUAUAAGACAGAUGUGAAAUCCCCGGGCUCAACCUGGGAACUGCAUUUGUGACUGUCUAGCUAGAGUACGGCAGAGGGGGAUGGAAUUCCGCGUGUAGCAGUGAAAUGCGUAGAUAUGCGGAGGAACACCGAUGGCGAAGGCAAUCCCCUGGGCCUGUACUGACGCUCAUGCACGAAAGCGUGGGGAGCAAACAGG
This 253-nucleotide ribosomal RNA is filed under the name uncultured bacterium. RNAcentral's name for it is "partial 16S ribosomal RNA". It matches the Rfam family "Bacterial small subunit ribosomal RNA", at positions 524 to 776 of the family's 1533-position model. The record is from RNAcentral.